UACGUAGGGCGCAAGCGUUGUCCGGAAUUAUUGGGCGUAAAGAGCUCGUAGGCGGCCAGUUGCGUCUGCUGUGAAAUCCCGGGGCUCAACCCCGGGCGUGCAGUGGAUACGGGCUGGCUAGAGGCAGGCAGGGGAGAACGGAAUUCCCGGUGUAGCGGUGAAAUGCGCAGAUAUCGGGAGGAACACCAAUGGCGAAGGCAGCUCGCUGGGACGUGACUGACGCUGAGACGCGAAAGCGUGGGGAGCAAACAGG
RNAcentral lists this ribosomal RNA (253 nucleotides) under uncultured bacterium. RNAcentral's name for it is "partial 16S ribosomal RNA". It matches the Rfam family "Bacterial small subunit ribosomal RNA", at positions 524 to 776 of the family's 1533-position model. The record is from RNAcentral.